Molecule: long non-coding RNA, 885 nt
Filed under: Jatropha curcas
Lineage: Eukaryota; Viridiplantae; Streptophyta; Magnoliopsida; Malpighiales; Euphorbiaceae
Description: long non-coding RNA (JCUR_LNC001447)
Source: RNAcentral
AUAUUAUAUUAUUGUUAAAUUGGAUCCGUAAACCAGUUUGAGUCUUCAAACCCAGAUGAAAAACCUGUAAACCAAAUGAAAAUCGGACUAAACCUUUAAUUUGGACCAAAUCCGGUUCAGGUCGAACCAGAUUACCCUAGAUAGACGAAGAAUACUUUUUUUUAUUCUUAUUCUUCCUUCUUUCUCUUGUUUUGGCGGCAGACUGCCUGUCUCUUUCUCUUCGAUUUUCCAGCCAUCACUUUGGCCAGCCGGCGUUGACUUUCCUUCAUCGCCGCCUUUCUUUUCAUUUCCGGUGGACGCAGCAGUCAGGCGAGCUGCAGUCUCUCCUCUCUGCGAACGGCGCAGCAGUGCCUCCAUUCAUUUCCGACAAUACUAGGCGACCGGUCACUUGAGGCUUUGAAGUGACUCUCGAUGGACUCAACUCCUCAAUGCGAAUAUUUCCCCUCCAUUAAUUUCGGUGUUUGGCCCAGUUUUAUGAAUCCGCCAUGAAUGACGGCGUUGAAGUGACUGUCGGUGUGAUUUGCAGCUAAAGAGCUCAUUUAUUCUACAAACUGAGGCUGGAUAUGGACUCCUGGUGAAAAUCCAAUUUGCUCAGUUGCUUCAUCUAUCGAAGUCGAUUAUCCAACCACCGUGAGCGGUAGUCUCCGGCGAGAUCCCAGCAGGCAGAAACUUAAAGAAUUUUACACUGAACUUGAAUCCGAAAUCCGAUUAUUAAUUGGUAUAAUUUAAGAUUCAGUUUACUAAAUUUAAUGUAAAUUUUAAAUUUAGAAAUGAUUGUUAUUGGGUUGAAUUAAUUUUGAUUAAAGUAAUUAAGGAUUAAGUAUAAGAUAUGGACUUUAUUAAAUUGGACCAAAUUAUAAUUACUACCAUGUAAAUAAGUUGCGG